GACGAACGCUGGCGGCGUGCUUAACACAUGCAAGUCGAACGGAAAGGCCCUGCUUUUGUGGGGUGCUCGAGUGGCGAACGGGUGAGUAACACGUUAGUAACCUGCCCUUGACUUUGGGAUAACUUCAGGAAACUGGGGCUAAUACCGGAUAGGAGCUCCUGCUGCAUGGUGGGGGUUGGAAAGUUUCGGCGGUUGGGGAUGGACUCGCGGCUUAUCAGCUUGUUGGUGGGGUAGUGGCUUACCAAGGCUUUGACGGGUAGCCGGCCUGAGAGGGUGACCGGCCACAUUGGGACUGAGAUACGGCCCAGACUACUACGGGAGGCAGCAGUGGGGAAUAUUACACAAUGGGCGGAAGCCUGAUGCAGCAACGCCGCGUGCGGGAUGACGGCCUUCGGGUUGUAAACCGCUUUCGCCUGUGACGAAGCGUGAGUGACGGUAAUGGGUAAAGAAGCACCGGCUAACUACGUG
RNAcentral lists this ribosomal RNA (468 nucleotides) under uncultured bacterium. RNAcentral's name for it is "partial 16S ribosomal RNA". It matches the Rfam family "Bacterial small subunit ribosomal RNA", at positions 28 to 507 of the family's 1533-position model. The record is from RNAcentral.